GAAACGACUGCUAAGACUGGAUAGGAGACAAGAAGGCAUCUUCUUGUUUUUAAAAGACCUAGCAAUAGGUAUGCUUAGGGAGGAGCUUGCGUCACAUUAGUUAGUUGGCGGGGUAAAGGCCUACCAAGACUAUGAUGUGUAGCCGGGCUGAGAGGUUGAACGGCCACAUUGGGACUGAGACACGGCCCAAACUCCUACGGGAGGCAGCAGUAGGGAAUUUUCGGCAAUGGAGGAAACUCUGACCGAGCAACGCCGCGUGAACGAUGAAGUAUUUCGGUACGUAAAGUUCUUUUAUUAGGGAAGAAUAAAUGAUGGAAAAAUCAUUCUGACGGUACCUAAUGAAUAAGCCCCGGCUAACUAUGUGCCAGCAGCCGCGGUAAUACAUAGGGGGCAAGCGUUAUCCGGAAUUAUUGGGCGUAAAGGGUGCGUAGGCGGUUAAAUAAGUUUAUGGUCUAAGUGCAAUGCUCAACAUUGUGAUGCUAUAAAAACUGUUUAGCUAGAGUAAGAUAGAGGCAAGUGGAAUUCCAUGUGUAGUGGUAAAAUGCGUAAAUAUAUGGAGGAACACCAGUAGCGAAGGCGGCUUGCUGGGUCUUUACUGACGCUGAGGCACGAAAGCGUGGGGAGCAAACAGGAUUAGAUACCCUGGUAGUCCACGCCGUAAACGAUGAGUACUAAACGUUGGGUAAAACCAGUGUUGAAGUUAACACAUUAAGUACUCCGCCUGAGUAGUACGUACGCAAGUAUGAAACUUAAAGGAAUUGACGGGACUCCGCACAAGCGGUGGAUCAUGUUGUUUAAUUCGAAGGUACCCGAAAAACCUCACCAGGUCUUGACAUGCUUCUGCAAAGCUGUAGAAACACAGUGGAGGUUAUCAGUUGCACAGGUGGUGCAUGGUUGUCGUCAGCUCGUGUCGUGAGAUGUUGGGUUAAGUCCCGCAACGAGCGCAACCCUUAUUGUUAGUUACCAGCACGUAAUGGUGGGGACUUUAGCGAGACUGCCAGUGAUAAAUUGGAGGAAGGUGGGGACGACGUCAAAUCAUCAUGCCCCUUAUGACCUGGGCUACAAACGUGAUACAAUGGCUGUUACAAAGGGUAGCUGAAGCGCAAGUUUUUGGCGAAUCUCAAAAAAACAGUCUCAGUUCGGAUUGAAGUCUGCAACUCGACUUCAUGAAGUUGGAAUCGCUAGUAAUCGCGAAUCAGCAUGUCGCGGUGAAUACGUUGACGGGGUUUGUACACACCGCCCGUCA
RNAcentral lists this ribosomal RNA (1246 nucleotides) under Aster yellows phytoplasma. RNAcentral describes it as "bacterial SSU rRNA". It matches the Rfam family "Bacterial small subunit ribosomal RNA", at positions 153 to 1399 of the family's 1533-position model. Lineage: Bacteria; Bacillati; Mycoplasmatota; Mollicutes; Acholeplasmatales; Acholeplasmataceae. The record is from RNAcentral.